Molecule: ribosomal RNA, 486 nt
Filed under: uncultured bacterium
Lineage: Bacteria
Description: partial 16S ribosomal RNA
Rfam family: Bacterial small subunit ribosomal RNA
Source: RNAcentral
AUUGAACGCUGGCGGCAUGCCUUACACAUGCAAGUCGAACGGCAGCACGGGUGCUUGCACCUGGUGGCGAGUGGCGAACGGGUGAGUAAUACAUCGGAACAUGUCCUGUAGUGGGGGAUAGCCCGGCGAAAGCCGGAUUAAUACCGCAUACGAUCCACGGAUGAAAGCGGGGGACCUUCGGGCCUCGCGCUAUAGGGUUGGCCGAUGGCUGAUUAGCUAGUUGGUGGGGUAAAGGCCUACCAAGGCGACGAUCAGUAGCUGGUCUGAGAGGACGACCAGCCACACUGGGACUGAGACACGGCCCAGACUCCUACGGGAGGCAGCAGUGGGGAAUUUUGGACAAUGGGCGAAAGCCUGAUCCAGCAAUGCCGCGUGUGUGAAGAAGGCCUUCGGGUUGUAAAGCACUUUUGUCCAGAAAGAAAUCCUUGGCUCUAAUACAGUCGGGGGAUGACGGUACCGGAAGAAUAAGCACCGGCUAACUACGUG